RNAcentral lists this ribosomal RNA (474 nucleotides) under uncultured Polaromonas sp. RNAcentral describes it as "bacterial SSU rRNA". It matches the Rfam family "Bacterial small subunit ribosomal RNA", at positions 907 to 1382 of the family's 1533-position model. The record is from RNAcentral. Lineage: Bacteria; Pseudomonadati; Pseudomonadota; Betaproteobacteria; Burkholderiales; Comamonadaceae.
UGAAUUGACGGGACCCGCACAAGCGGUGGAUGAUGUGGUUUAAUUCGAUGCAACGCGAAAACCUUACCUACCUUUGACAUGUACGGAAUUCGCCAGAGAUGGCUUAGUGCUCGAAAGAGAACCGUAACACAGGUGCUGCAUGGCUGUCGUCAGCUCGUGUCGUGAGAUGUUGGGUUAAGUCCCGCAACGAGCGCAACCCUUGUCAUUAGUUGCUACAUUUAGUUGGGCACUCUAAUGAGACUGCCGGUGACAAACCGGAGGAAGGUGGGGAUGACGUCAAGUCCUCAUGGCCCUUAUAGGUAGGGCUACACACGUCAUACAAUGGAUGGUACAAAGGGUCGCCAACCCGCGAGGGGGAGCCAAUCCCAUAAAACCAUUCGUAGUCCGGAUCGCAGUCUGCAACUCGACUGCGUGAAGUCGGAAUCGCUAGUAAUCGUGGAUCAGAAUGUCACGGUGAAUACGUUCCCGGGUCUU